Molecule: long non-coding RNA, 412 nt
Organism: Ctenopharyngodon idella (grass carp)
Lineage: Eukaryota; Metazoa; Chordata; Actinopteri; Cypriniformes; Xenocyprididae
Exons: 3
Source: RefSeq, a predicted model, not a curated record
CCUUCAUCUGCAGUUCAUUCCUGCUACAUCAAGAUACCAUGAAGGUAGCAGAGAUGUGACAGAGUCAUGCACUGACAGGAGGAAAAGGCCCUCGAUGGUUCAAUCCCAGAGAUAUGGAGAUCUUAACGCGGCUCCAUGCAUAAAUUGGUUUUUUUUCCUCCCAUCCUGUAGCCUACCCGGGAGAGUGUCCGCGCCCCACCGGUUGAGAACCACUGGCAUAGAACAUGCAUAAGUUCCAUAAAUAUUCCUUUUCCAAAGUUUGCAUGCCUGUAAAGUAUUCAAGAUAUCUUAAUAUCCUUCUAGAUUCUAAUCUUGAAUAAACUUUUCAUUUGGAAAUGGUGGAUUACUCAGUAAAUAUACAUCUGUAACAUUUAAUAUUUUGGUUUUCAUCAUUAUAUAUGUUUGUCUUUCA